This 1796-nucleotide long non-coding RNA is filed under the name Panax ginseng (ginseng). RNAcentral describes it as "long non-coding RNA (PGIN_LNC005147)". Lineage: Eukaryota; Viridiplantae; Streptophyta; Magnoliopsida; Apiales; Araliaceae. The record is from RNAcentral.
UUUAUUUCUACUCAUGCACAGGGCUCGUCCUAAAACUAUAAAAGAAAAAAAAUCCAAAAGAGAAACGUAAGCUUUAAAAAGAAAGUCUCACUAGAGUAGUGGGUAAAAUAAUAUUUAAACUUUUUGGUUUAAAGAAAUAUGCAUUAGAAUGUUGAUGAGCUUAUUACCUUACUGAAUUGUUGUUUUUGCUUCUUUUUGUAAUUUCGUUAGUUUGAAUUUUCAAUGGCAGCUAGUAAAAUGAGAAUCCUGUCCAAAGGCCCCAAGCAUACUACAAGUUACUUCCAACAGCUUAUCUACCAUACACAAUACAAUUUAAUUUAUUAGUGAGAUACCUUCUAAAGUCGAAUGAAAUAAAUUAAUACUUUCAUCUCAAACAACCAUACAAGCACUCCCAGUAUAUUAAAUCUAUAUGUUCAAUUAUCAAUAUACUACUCAAAGUGGCUACAUAAUAGCCUAUUUUUUCUCUUUUAAUAGAAAACAUAGCAUAGAUUAUUGCACCUACUAAAAUAAAUAAUCAUAUUUCAUAUUUAGGAAUAAAGAGAAAAUCAGAAAGCACUAUCAUGUUUCUGCACGAAAUAAUAGUGUAUCAAGUGUUAAGUGUUAUUUAAGUUGGGAUGAAACUAAGAAGUUUUUGGAAGAAAAACAUAAGACGAUCAAGAAAUCUAAUUUCAUGUUCAUCUAUGGCAUUUAAUGAAAUAAGUCUAACAAAAAUGAAAAAUUAGUGUUGUUAUUACGAGAAAUCACGUCAAAUAACAAAAGAUGCAACAGUCAAAUUCAUAACAAAUAAUGGAGCUCAAAAUUAGUAGAAUAAGGAUAGAUAGACAAUGGCAAGGGCAUAUGCUUAAACAAUUUACCUUCUCACUCACGCUAAAACUAACCAAUUGUUCAAAGCUAAAGUUCAGCCACGCGCGCAAUGAAAGUCAACUUAUGAUCUCUUGCUUAAUAAACCAAACCAGUCGCAAACAAAAAGAACAAUACUAAAAGACUUGACUGUAAUAAGCUACCUAACACAUAUAAACCAUAAUUUGCCAUAAAAUGAAACAAAGUUCAUGAUGUGGCAAAACUAGAUUCAUUCAUUCUGUGCAAAAUAAAAUUAAUAGCCAGCCGGUAUGUUCAUUAGAUAUAAAUUAUCAUAAAACCAAAAGGCAUGACUGGUUUGCAAUAUGCACAACAUAAAUUGAUUCCACUUGACCCACCACCACCGCCAAUAUCAACCAACAUCACAAUCCAGCUACAACUUAUGUCUUAUAGCUAGCAUAACCGACACAUAAUUUACCAGGAAUUUUUUUCCCACUGCCUUGGCUUUAGAAUUUUGUUUUAGCUCGCAAGUUUUUGAAAAUGGCAACAACAUUGGAAGCUGUGUUUGCUUCUGAAAAAACGUAAGCAAAGGCAUUUUGGCAGCCAAAAAAACACUUAAGCAGCAAAAAUGUGAAAUCUCAAAAGGACAUAUAUAACUAAUGCGAAAUGAAACCCGAACUAUUCCUUACAAAAUAAAAUUGGUUUAUAUGCAGUUUUCGAGUUGCUGUAAUCCUUGUGUUGACGAAAAUGCACUUUUCCCUAAGAUUCUCUUUUCAUUUCAGUAUAAGAAUAUCUAAAAUACAAAUAAGCAUAAGCUUGAUGAGAAGAUUCUAGAAUAGUGGAUGUGAAUUAAGAAGGCAACUAACUAACUACAUAUCAGUGGAAUAUUACAUUUAUAAACCAUAAAAACAAGGUUGGCCUAGGCUAGCAGAUAGUGGCUUGCCUUGGUUAGUGCUUUCAAAUCAGGACGCCCGCAGCCUGUUUGGUGUUGUCAUCAG